RNAcentral lists this ribosomal RNA (394 nucleotides) under Cinygmula sp. EP013. RNAcentral's name for it is "partial 12S ribosomal RNA". It matches the Rfam family "Microsporidia small subunit ribosomal RNA", at positions 651 to 1204 of the family's 1311-position model. Lineage: Eukaryota; Metazoa; Arthropoda; Insecta; Ephemeroptera; Heptageniidae. The record is from RNAcentral.
UAAACUACGAUUAGAUACCCUAUUAUUCUAAAUGUUAAAAGAAAGCCGGAGUAGUAAUAGUUAUGUUCUUGAAACUCAAAGAAUUUGGCGGUGUUUUAGUCCAUUCAGAGGAACCUGUCCCGUAAUCGAUACCCCACGUUUAUUUAACUUGAUUUAGUAUUCAGCUUGUAUACCGCCGUCAAAAGAGAAAUUCUAGAGAAUAUUUUCAAUCCCCUCGAAUAAGGGGUAUGUCAGGUCAAGGUGCAGUUUAUGGUCAAGGGGAGAUGGGUUACAAUAGUAUUAACUACACGAAAAUCUUUUUGUAAAAAAAGUUGGAAGGUGGAUUUGAGUGUAAUAAAGUUUAGGUUGAUUUUAUGAAAAUGGCUCUAAAACAAGCACACAUCGCCCGUCGCUC